Molecule: long non-coding RNA, 401 nt
Organism: Dioscorea cayenensis subsp. rotundata (Guinea yam)
Lineage: Eukaryota; Viridiplantae; Streptophyta; Magnoliopsida; Dioscoreales; Dioscoreaceae
Exons: 3
Source: RefSeq, a predicted model, not a curated record
GAAACUUUGUAAGAUGGAGGCUGCUGAGAGUGCCGGUGGACUUCUAGUCACAUGAGGUUGAUCUCAUGGAAGAGAAUGUUGCAAUGGAAUCCAAAGCCAUUUCUGUCCCACCAUCAUUGGUUGGGAUGUGCUUUUUGGUUAGAUAGCGGCUUUUUAUGUGUUUAUGGUCCCAACACAGUAAAGUAGAAGAGAGUUUCAAUGUCAAGAUUACUAUGAUGGUCAUUUUUUUUAACUCAAACAUCAUUUAUUCAGCCUUGAGCGGGAUUCUCUUCCUAAUAUAUAGAUAUACUGUGAAGUGCAUUGACCAUCAUUACUAGUGUACAUCUAAUGUAAAUUAGGUGUAUUUGUCAAGUUUAUAAGUACCUAUCAUUUAUUCAACCUUGAGAAUUAUUCUCUUCAUA